CAGCAAUGAAGCGGCCCCAAGAAGGAACAGGAAAGAUGGCAGUGAGUACAGACUGGUGAAGAACCGCCGCAGCCCACAGCUACCUGCUUCUAUGCCGGGGCCGUACUACAACCCGAGACCGAGGCAGCGCAUCCCCAGGGACUUGGCCAUGUGCGUGACUCCCAGCGGACAGUUCUACUGCUCCAUGUGUAACUGCGGAGCCGAGCAGGAGCCCGACUUCAGGCAGCAUCUUGAGAGCAAGCAGCACAAAGCAAAAGUGUCGGAGCUAAGAUACCGCCACGAGAUGGAGAACCUCGGCUACAGCUAAGAGACACAAGAGGAGAGUGUUCGGGGAGAUAACAGAAAGAGAGUAGAUUGACAGAGAAUAAGUGGGAGACAAAAAGAGAAGACCAGGAGGGCAAAUACUUCCCUCUGUUAAAGGGGAACAUUCAGAGAAGAGAUUAGCACACAUGGCCUCAAGAUCUUGUUGCAAUUCAUUUGAUACGCUUAAAUCCUCAUAUUUAGCAUAAUGCUCCUCAAUAUGAAGCUUCAAUGAGAUUUGAUGGAUUUAUUUGAUCCAGGUGUUACUCUUGAAAUUAUGUCUGUAUAUUGAGGCUUGUAACAUGUUUGCAGAUAACAGACAUGUAAAAACGAAUACAGAUGUUCGAUGUACAAUUCAUUUAUUUAGGCUCUGAGUCAGAUACAGUUUGAGACACUCCACUCUGUCUCAGUCUCCUCUGAGGCUUUGAGUGGGUUGCAUUGUGACUCAGGAUGCAGGUAAAUGCAAAUGGAUUGCAAUUAAAUCUUGAGCUUGAUCAGGCUGCAGGAAAAGGACUAGUGGUGCACAGAAAGCCAACAUCCCAGGAGAGGAGGCACAUUUGGUACAUGCACAGGGUUAAAGCAUUUGAAAAGAAUGCAACAUGUGGAAAAUAGCAAGAAACUGUUUGGUAGACUGUUUUGGUACUUGAAGAAUUGAAAAAAACACACACGUGGUCAGACACGUGUCCUCGUUGGGAUAACAAUCAACGCUGAGGACAAAGUUUGAGCCCUACAGGUAUUUUUUACAGGCCCUACAGAAGGGUCUUCAGGGCCACUUAUAGUGACCACUAUAAGCCACAAAUUCAACAUCUUUUUAACCUGACACAGGUUAUAAAUCCAAAGCUAAUUCAUAAAAAAGCAAAGCACAACAAACAACAUCCUCUGUUAUAAACAGUGUUACAUGAAUCUAUAGCCGUAGCCGACUUGUUAGCGGUUUUCUGGCGUGUUUCAGGCUGGAGGCUACAUCCUGGCUAGCCUUGUUUGUGCCUUUAGUGAGAAUUAGGCUAAAGAGUAAACUUUGGCUAGCCAUUUUGACAUAUAGUGGAAACCAAUCAAUGCAACUGAUUGGAUUUUUCUAUUAUCUGUGUCGCCUCUUUUAUUAUGAUAAAUCCACAUUAUGUAAAUAUUCUCAAAUGACAUUAAAGAUGUACAUUUAGGAUAAUAUACAUGAAUAUUAUUUAAUCCUUUGGUUAAUGUUAGCCUAGAAUACAUUGUAAAUACUCAUCUAUCUCAUUUAAUUAUGAUCAGGAUCUUGUGUGCACUGACUGAAUGUCUCUCAGCACUGUUUGUGUGUGGAUGUUACUGUAGGCCCUUUAUAGCACUUUGAGCGAUGUCCUUGUUCAUUGCUAAAGUACCAUCCGUCUCAUUAAAAGCUGCUAGUCUCAUCAUUGUGACUGUGCCGGAGGACGGCAUGAGAGGAGAAGCUGUCUCUGAAGCGUCUUUUGAGGCAGGGUUCAAGCUUUAUCUCUUUCUAGUCAACUCAGCCAAACCGGCAUUGUGAUAGGAAGAAAUGUGACAAUAGAUUGGGAGUGAUGCAGAGAGCUGAACGCAUUUGACUUAACUUUUAAUUAGAUUGCUAAUGAACAUGUUGAAGAGCUCAUGGAUAUUUUGGAAUGUAAGACACUCCAUUUAAUUCUCCCAACCAAUCGCAAUUCCCACAGGGGACAUUAACAUAUUUUAAUGCAGUGUGACGGGGCUGCAGACAACUCACAUGGAUUUUAUCUGAAUUUUUGUAAUGUUUUCUGUUGUUUUUAUAACUGACCCAGGUAGAGAUGCUUUUUUCAGUAUUCAAUCCAUCCUGAAAACAUCAAUUGUGUAAUCGGAAUCAAAUUAGAUUUUCUCUUUCUGUUUAUUCGAUUAUCUGUUCCAGCUCAGUAGUGCUGAGCUGAACACAGCGCUGUCACAAAGUAUUUGGAGCAACUCUAUAGUAGUCAAUGUAAACAAAAAUCUACAUUUUUAUUGUUUGAAACACUGAAUGUGACUUUUAAAGUGUUGUUUAUAUAUUGAUCAUUAGUUCUUUAAUUCUUUAGAUUGAAAUAAUGAGUGUAUUUAUGGCUCAAGUAAUCAUUUACAGUAUCACCAGUAGAUGUUUGGAUUGCAACAUGUGUCACACAUACUGUAUACAAGAAUAGAUUACUGUAGUUCAAAGGUGAAACAGCUUCCCUUUAAAUGUGCUUUUCUAACUUUCCACGCACACGUGCACACCCAGUCAAAAGCCUGAUCGGGUCACAUCAGCAGUGGUAUAAUGUGAAAGGAAAGCAAUUUCCUGGUUUGGUUAUUUGCAGGGAGAGGCAGCUGUUCACAUCUUUCAUUUGACUCUGGGGCACAGAAACACCUGAUCACACAGAUGAGGACGCUCAGGAGAAAAGCACUGUGAGGAUAUUAACAUGUGAGAGAGUUGGAGUGACUAACAGAGCAUAGAAAACUAAAUGUGAGGCUGUUUUCACUGUGCCGUGUAUUUUGAAAAAGAAGAAAAAGAACAAAGAUGAGCUGAUGAAAGCAGAGCUGAAGUGAAAGCUGUGGGCGAGACACAGGGAGUCGAGGAGUUCUUCAGUUGCUGUCUGUUAAUAGCUCUCCUUCUCCUAGAAAUAACAUGCUUUGUCUUACAUGAAAGAAUGGAUAGCAUAACCUUUUAUUAUGUUGACAGGCUCACACUCCAAUGCAGAAGCUGAACACUUUCAGCAAAAGCAUAGAGACAUGGGGAAAGUGUAGAAAGCUAUCAAACUAAAGAGCCUUAA
Notothenia coriiceps (black rockcod) is the source of this 3035-nucleotide long non-coding RNA. RefSeq lists it as uncharacterized. Lineage: Eukaryota; Metazoa; Chordata; Actinopteri; Perciformes; Nototheniidae. The record is from RefSeq and is a predicted model, not a curated record. The transcript has 2 exons.